RNAcentral lists this ribosomal RNA (229 nucleotides) under uncultured bacterium. RNAcentral describes it as "partial 16S ribosomal RNA". It matches the Rfam family "Bacterial small subunit ribosomal RNA", at positions 568 to 796 of the family's 1533-position model. The record is from RNAcentral.
CGUGUAGGCGGCCUGGUAAGUCAGGUGUGAAAGCCCUUGGCUCAACCAAGGAAUGUCAUCUGAAACUACCAGACUUGAGUACGGGAGAGGAGAGUGGAAUUCCCGGUGUAGAGGUGAAAUUCGUAGAUAUCGGGAGGAACACCCGUGGCGAAGGCGACUCUCUGGACCGAUACUGACGCUGAGACGCGAAAGCGUGGGGAGCAAACAGGAUUAGAUACCCUGGUAGUCC